RNAcentral lists this transfer RNA (87 nucleotides) under Candidatus Saccharimonadota bacterium. RNAcentral describes it as "tRNA-Leu". It matches the Rfam family "tRNA". From Rfam's summary of the family: Transfer RNA (tRNA) molecules are approximately 80 nucleotides in length. Their secondary structure includes four short double-helical elements and three loops (D, anti-codon, and T loops). RNAcentral also lists the same sequence under 2 other names. Lineage: Bacteria; Candidatus Saccharimonadota. The record is from RNAcentral.
GGGCGAGUGGCGGAAUUGGUAUACGCGACGGACUUAAAAUCCGUUGAGAGCAAUCUCGUGAGGGUUCAAGUCCCUCCUCGCCCACCA